RNAcentral lists this small RNA (254 nucleotides) under Pteropus vampyrus (large flying fox). Its description in RNAcentral is "7SK RNA (ENSPVAG00000028367.1)". The record is from RNAcentral. Lineage: Eukaryota; Metazoa; Chordata; Mammalia; Chiroptera; Pteropodidae.
UGGUAUGAAGAUAACCCGGCUGCCACAUUUAUCAUUUCCCUAAUGGCCAGGGUUAAUUUGGCUGAAUUGGUAGGCUGAGUUAACUGUCCCCUCCUGUUCCAAUAGAUUUUUCUCCUAAAGGUCUAAACUGGGUCAAACAGGACAAAAAACCUUGCCAGAUUAAGGAUGGUCAUGUUUUAAUCAAGGAGUAACCUGUUCUAGUUCUCUGAUUUAAUUGUGUAACAUAACACGAAUCAACAGGAAUAUUCUUCCCU